RNAcentral lists this ribosomal RNA (753 nucleotides) under uncultured Burkholderiaceae bacterium. RNAcentral's name for it is "bacterial SSU rRNA". It matches the Rfam family "Bacterial small subunit ribosomal RNA", at positions 28 to 776 of the family's 1533-position model. Lineage: Bacteria; Pseudomonadati; Pseudomonadota; Betaproteobacteria; Burkholderiales; Burkholderiaceae. The record is from RNAcentral.
AUUGAGCGCUGGCGGCAUGCCUUACACAUGCAAGUCGAACGGCAGCACGGGGGCAACCCUGGUGGCGAGUGGCGAACGGGUGAGUAAUACAUCGGAACGUGUCCUGUAGUGGGGGAUAGCCCGGCGAAAGCCGGAUUAAUACCGCAUACGCUCUACGGAGGAAAGGGGGGGAUCUUAGGACCUCCCGCUACAGGGGCGGCCGAUGGCAGAUUAGCUAGUUGGUGGGGUAAAGGCCUACCAAGGCGACGAUCUGUAGCUGGUCUGAGAGGACGACCAGCCACACUGGGACUGAGACACGGCCCAGACUCCUACGGGAGGCAGCAGUGGGGAAUUUUGGACAAUGGGGGCAACCCUGAUCCAGCAAUGCCGCGUGUGUGAAGAAGGCCUUCGGGUUGUAAAGCACUUUUGUCCGGAAAGAAAACGCCGUGGUUAAUACCCGUGGCGGAUGACGGUACCGGAAGAAUAAGCACCGGCUAACUACGUGCCAGCAGCCGCGGUAAUACGUAGGGUGCAAGCGUUAAUCGGAAUUACUGGGCGUAAAGCGUGCGCAGGCGGUCCGCUAAGACAGAUGUGAAAUCCCCGGGCUUAACCUGGGAACUGCAUUUGUGACUGGCGGGCUAGAGUAUGGCAGAGGGGGGUAGAAUUCCACGUGUAGCAGUGAAAUGCGUAGAGAUGUGGAGGAAUACCGAUGGCGAAGGCAGCCCCCUGGGCCAAUACUGACGCUCAUGCACGAAAGCGUGGGGAGCAAACAGG